CUCCGUCCGGACUUCUACGGGAGCCGGGCUCCGUCCUCAACUUCAACUGCCAGUAAGCCUUGUCCGGACUCCCACGGGAGCCGGACUUCGCCUUUGAUUUUAAUUGCAGGAAGACUCCGUUCGGACUCCUACGGGAGCCGGACUCCGCCUACGACUUCGACCGCAAGUAGACUCGCCCGGACUUCUACGGGAGCCGGGCUCCAUCCUCAACUUCAACUGCCAGUAAGCCUUGUCCGGACUCCU
Molecule: long non-coding RNA, 243 nt
Filed under: Elaeis guineensis (African oil palm)
Lineage: Eukaryota; Viridiplantae; Streptophyta; Magnoliopsida; Arecales; Arecaceae
Description: long non-coding RNA (EGUI_LNC066680)
Source: RNAcentral